CUGACACGGUUCAUAUAAAGUCACAGCACAGACAUAACCUGGUUGCUGCUACUAGUCAGGCUCAUCAAAUGCAAACAUGGCUCUUGUUGGCCUUGGCCCGGCCGUCAACUGCUUCAACUGCAGAUGCGGCUGACCUAGAUGUCCCAUCAAUAGCGAAGGAAGUGGCUGAACUCGUUCUUUGGGACUUGGACUCUGACUUUCCGUACUAGUCCAAUAACCCAAUGGGGAAUCCGUCCCUUUCAGCCCCUGAACCUAAUGAAUCUGUUUGGUACGCUGAGGCUUCUCCUUCCCCUGAAAUCGGCCGUAAACAGACACUGCUUGAAGACAAGAAAGGUUGGGACAAAGACCUCUUCUCUUUCAAAUCUCGUAGGAAGUGGAAAGGAAGUAGCUUGUGCUUGGCGUGCUCUAAGCUCCGAAGCUGAUGUUCGAUUGAAUUAACCUCAACAACUCGUGAAAUUUAACUAAUGGCCGAAGUCCUUCUUCGCGCACAGCCAGACCUUCUGCUCGAUUGUUUGUUGCCUCAGUUGGGAAGAAGGCUGGAAUCUUUCUCUCCCUAGCCCUAGGAUAGAAUGUGAUCUCUUUCUCUAAAGGUUUUGAAAAUGCAAUCCUACAAGUACAGUUUCAGCAAGUAAGAUUUGAAUCCCCAACGACAAGCGAACGGGCAUUUUCGGGGACUAGCCAUUACUCAAGCAAGAGGGAAAUUCCUAGCACAUAAUUAAGGGAGCCAUGGAAAGGUGACUGAAACACCAGAAACGGCGACUACCCGAGCUAAUGAUAGAGGCAAGAACACUUUCCGGCCAAGUCCCAUUAAUUGAUCAUAACGAUAUCGUGGAAAUGCUGCGCGGACCCAUAUAUAUAGAAAGAGAAAAAGAAUCACCUUGAUACUAAACCAGAUCGAGCCCGGGAUCCUCUUUAAAAUGGGAAGAUCUAGGAUAGGCGGCCAACCUCCUGGAGAGAGCGAUGUGCAUGGACCAGGUGAGUAGGGAUGCAGCUCCGUGGACCGCUCGUCGGGCCUGAUAGGUGGUGGUAUCACACCCUUCUCAAAGGAACCGUACGUGAGACUCUCGCGUCAUACGGCUCCGUCCCGGAACCGGAAGAAGGACCUCCCCUUUCCUUUGACCAACGGGCCCUCGAACCAACCCG
Molecule: non-coding RNA, 1143 nt
Organism: Lupinus albus (white lupine)
Lineage: Eukaryota; Viridiplantae; Streptophyta; Magnoliopsida; Fabales; Fabaceae
Source: the annotation of a GenBank genome assembly